Molecule: ribosomal RNA, 445 nt
Filed under: Scabies nucleus
Lineage: Eukaryota; Metazoa; Mollusca; Bivalvia; Unionida; Unionidae
Description: partial 28S ribosomal RNA
Source: RNAcentral
AAACCGCUUAGAGGCAAACGGGUGGAACCGCAAUGCGUCGACCCGGGGGAUUCAGCCAGGCCCGUAAAUACACCGGGACGGGCUUAGGACCGCGGAGCCGAAAAGGCCCGCGCCUUUGCUUGGUCUCCGGGCGGACUGGUGCACUUUCCUCGGGUCGAUGGCCACGACCGGCUCUCCGGCGGCCAGAAAGCUAGCUAAAGCGGGAAGGUGACCGUAGGCCCACCACAGCCUACGGUGUUAUAGCCCGGCUAGCCUGAGCGCUCGUCGGAGGGCCGAGGGAGAGCGCCGCACGUCGCUCACCCGCUGGCCAUCCUUGCUCGAGUCACAUGGGUUGGACUGCUCCGUCAGUGCUAUCCGACAGCGAGCGUAGGAAGGGCCGGCAAAGGUGCGACGAGGCAUCGGGCCAGUGGCGAAUCGGUCGGUCUUCCACCCGACCCGUCUUGAA